GCUCUAGAAGACUGUGUAUUACUCAAGGAACGUGGAGUGGUUGAAGUAAAUGACUACAACCUGGAUUAUAUUCCACUGAGGAGUGCCGUACUUUUAAUCAUACAAGAAAGGACUAUAUUAUUUUAGGCAAGAGUACUUUCUUCCAUAGGAUUGAAGAAAGGUUUACAUAGGUGUUGAGUUACAUUAUAGUAUUUGUGCUAUGUGUUCAUAUGCAGUCACAUAUAACAUGUAUUUGGCAUGGCAUGAGUAGUUUCUGAAGGUAAAAAUAAAUAAAUUUAUAUUAAUUGUCACCUUUAGUUAAAACUAUGCACUAUAAAGAAUUGUGGAAGCAAAAGCUUAAUAAUAAUGAAGGGUGAGAGGAUUAAGAUUUCUACCUCAAUGACAACAUAGUAGAGUUAGUGGGGCAAAGGUGAACUAAAUGGUAGUUAAUGUGUUGAUAAUAAAGCAUCACAUUUGAGCUUCAUUUGCCUUUUAAAAACUAAGUUACUUCUACUUACAAUUAGC
RNAcentral lists this long non-coding RNA (504 nucleotides) under Pan troglodytes (chimpanzee). Its description in RNAcentral is "long non-coding RNA NONPTRT010666". The record is from RNAcentral. Lineage: Eukaryota; Metazoa; Chordata; Mammalia; Primates; Hominidae.